Molecule: ribosomal RNA, 492 nt
Filed under: uncultured bacterium
Lineage: Bacteria
Description: partial 16S ribosomal RNA
Rfam family: Bacterial small subunit ribosomal RNA
Source: RNAcentral
AGUGAACGCUGGCGGUAGGCCUAACACAUGCCAGUCGAACGGCAGCACAGUAAGAGCUUGCUCUUACGGGUGGCGAGUGGCGGACGGGUGAGGAAUACAUCGGAAUCUACUUUUUCGUGGGGGAUAACGUAGGGAAACUUACGCUAAUACCGCAUACGACCUACGGGUGAAAGCAGGGGAUCUUCGGACCUUGCGCGAUUGAAUGAGCCGAUGUCGGAUUAGCUAGUUGGCGGGGUAAAGGCCCACCAAGGCGACGAUCCGUAGCUGGUCUGAGAGGAUGAUCAGCCACACUGGAACUGAGACACGGUCCAGAUUCCUACGGGAGGCAGCAGUGGGGAAUAUUGGACAAUGGGCGCAAGCCUGAUCCAGCCAUACCGCGUGGGUGAAGAAGGCCUUCGGGUUGUAAAGCCCUUUUGUUGGGAAAGAAAAGCAGCAGGUUAAUACCCCGCUGUUCUGACGGUACCCAAAGAAUAAGCACCGGCUAACUUCGUG